GAGAGGAUAAGAAACUGCCUCAUGGUAGCCUC
This 32-nucleotide non-coding RNA is filed under the name Homo sapiens (human). Lineage: Eukaryota; Metazoa; Chordata; Mammalia; Primates; Hominidae. The record is from RNAcentral.